Helianthus annuus (common sunflower) is the source of this 167-nucleotide long non-coding RNA. RefSeq lists it as uncharacterized. The record is from RefSeq and is a predicted model, not a curated record. Lineage: Eukaryota; Viridiplantae; Streptophyta; Magnoliopsida; Asterales; Asteraceae. The transcript is spliced from 3 exons.
GCUAAUAGAACAUUUGCGGGCGAUGGGUGAAUCUAAUGCGCUUGUAAAUAGAAUCAAAUUCUUAAAAAGGGACACCGCUCUAGCGACAGCUGCUGUUUAUGAGUCCAUGUUUGCAGCAGAAGAUGGCUCCAUCCCUACGACUUUCCAGGUGAUAUAUAUGACUGGGU